This 459-nucleotide ribosomal RNA is filed under the name uncultured bacterium. RNAcentral describes it as "bacterial SSU rRNA". It matches the Rfam family "Bacterial small subunit ribosomal RNA", at positions 1 to 507 of the family's 1533-position model. The record is from RNAcentral.
GACGUCUACGAGUUUGAUCCUGGCUCAGAACGAACGCUGGCGGCAGGCCUAAUACAUGCAAGUCGAACGAUCCUUCGGGAUAGUGGCGCACGGGUGAGUAACACGUGGGAACAUACCCUUGGGUGCGGAACAACGUCGGGAAACUGACGCUAAUACCGCAUAAUGACUCCGGUCCAAAGAUUUAUCGCCCAAGGAUUGGCCCGCGCUAGAUUAGGUUGUUGGUGAGGUAACGGCUCACCAAGCCUACGAUCUAUAGCUGGUCUGAGAGGAUGAUCAGCCACACUGGGACUGAGACACGGCCCAGACUCCUACGGGAGGCAGCAGUAAGGAAUAUUGGACAAUGGGGGCAACCCUGAUCCAGCCAUGCCGCGUGAGUGAAGAAGGCCUUAGGGUUGUAAAGCUCUUUCAGGUGCGAAGAUAAUGACUGUAACACCAGAAGAAGCCCCGGCUAAAUUCGUG